GAGAAGAAGAUGACUGAGGGUCAUCAGGAAGCUUUGACUGCACAAGCUGCAGACCAAGCUGGGGCUGUGCAAAAUGAAGUUGAAGCUAGGGAUUUGCAAUCCUUGGGCACUUCUUCUACAGAGAAAAGAGGCCGCGGACGUCCUAGAAAGAGGCCGCUGGAAACCGGAACUGCAGGAGCGGGGGUUCCUGCAUCCACAGUGAAGAGAGGCCGUGGUAGGCCAAGAAAGGAGAAGACAUUGGAAACUGGGGACUUGAAAGUUGCACAGAUGACGGAGGGUCAACAUAAAGCUCUGCCUGCACAAGCUGUAGACCAAGGUGGGCUUAUGCAAAAUGAAGUUGAAGCUAGGAUUUUGCAAUCCUUUGGUACUCCUUUGAUGGAGAAGAGAGGUCGUGGGCGACCUAGAAAGAGGCCUCUGGAAACUGAAACUACAGAAACCCAAGUUGAUGCAUUGGUGAAGAAGC
Molecule: long non-coding RNA, 463 nt
Filed under: Sorghum bicolor (sorghum)
Lineage: Eukaryota; Viridiplantae; Streptophyta; Magnoliopsida; Poales; Poaceae
Description: long non-coding RNA (SBIC_LNC016957)
Source: RNAcentral